AGCUACCAUGCAGUCGAGCGGUAGAGAGAAGCUUGCUUCUCUUGAGAGCGGCGGACGGGUGAGUAAUGCCUAGGAAUCUGCCUGGUAGUGGGGGAUAACGUUCGGAAACGAACGCUAAUACCGCAUACGUCCUACGGGAGAAAGCAGGGGACCUUCGGGCCUUGCGCUAUCAGAUGAGCCUAGGUCGGAUUAGCUAGUUGGUGAGGUAAUGGCUCACCAAGGCGACGAUCCGUAACUGGUCUGAGAGGAUGAUCAGUCACACUGGAACUGAGACACGGUCCAGACUCCUACGGGAGGCAGCAGUGGGGAAUAUUGGACAAUGGGCGAAAGCCUGAUCCAGCCAUGCCGCGUGUGUGAAGAAGGUCUUCGGAUUGUAAAGCACUUUAAGUUGGGAGGAAGGGCAGUUACCUAAUACGUGAUUGUUUUGACGUUACCGACAGAAUAAGCACCGGCUAACUCUGUGCCAGCAGCCGCGGUAAUACAGAGGGUGCAAGCGUUAAUCGGAAUUACUGGGCGUAAAGCGCGCGUAGGUGGUUUGUUAAGUUGGAUGUGAAAUCCCCGGGCUCAACCUGGGAACUGCAUUCAAAACUGACUGACUAGAGUAUGGUAGAGGGUGGUGGAAUUUCCUGUGUAGCGGUGAAAUGCGUAGAUAUAGGAAGGAACACCAGUGGCGAAGGCGACCACCUGGACUAAUACUGACACUGAGGUGCGAAAGCGUGGGGAGCAAACAGGAUUAGAUACCCUGGUAGUCCACGCCGUAAACGAUGUCAACUAGCCGUUGGAAGCCUUGAGCUUUUAGUGGCGCAGCUAACGCAUUAAGUUGACCGCCUGGGGAGUACGGCCGCAAGGUUAAAACUCAAAUGAAUUGACGGGGGCCCGCACAAGCGGUGGAGCAUGUGGUUUAAUU
This 907-nucleotide ribosomal RNA is filed under the name Pseudomonas sp. P-J-1. RNAcentral's name for it is "bacterial SSU rRNA". It matches the Rfam family "Bacterial small subunit ribosomal RNA", at positions 49 to 951 of the family's 1533-position model. The record is from RNAcentral. Lineage: Bacteria; Pseudomonadati; Pseudomonadota; Gammaproteobacteria; Pseudomonadales; Pseudomonadaceae.